AUGUAUGUAUAUGUAUAGCUGAUUCACUUUGUUAUACAGCAGAAAUUAACACACCAGUGUAAAGCAAUUAUACUCCAAUAAAUACGUUAAAAAAUAAAACAAAAUAAAAUAAAAACCAUAGAUUUAAAAGUAGUAAAAUCUGUUAAUAUGGAAAUGAAUAUGUUUCCGGAGUUACAAUGACUUCUAAAAAGAAAAGAAACUGUAGAAAAUGUGUGACUUGCUGAUAAGAAGGACAAAACCAUUCACUCAGAAGCCCAGCUUUUAACUGUACCUCAGUAACUCCUUAAAGGAAAUUAUCACUUGAUAAUUUACACAAUAGAUGUUGAAAGGUAUUCAAAUAGACUUUAAGGGACGAAGUUAUUACUAGAAAUAAAAUGUUCAAAAUGAUAAAAUGAUCAAAACAGAAAGAUAUACAAAUUGUAAAUAUUUAUAACUCGUUUCAAAUAUGUGAACCAAAACUUGACAGAAAUAAAGGAGAAAUACAUGAAGCUACUGAAGGGGCGAGGAGUAGAAAGGAAACCACAGGACUGAAUGAAGUACAAGGAGAUGGUGGAAGAAGCAAGAAGCACAGAAGGACCCGCACUGGGCCACCCAAAACCCAGGAAACUGCUCCAGUAAUGGAGACAGGAAAGCACAGGGGCCCAGACCACAUGCACGAGCCUGAGCACAGGUACACUCAUAGGGAAAUGGUAAGCGUGGAGGAGAAGGAGAGGCAGUAAAUGGUAUCUGCCCUCCUGAAGCCAACUACGAGAGGUAAAUUUUACACCACCACGUUAAAAAAAAAAAGGACAUGAAAAGAUCUUCAGCAUCCUAAUUCUUAGAAAAAUGCACACCAAAACGACCACAAGGUAUGAUCGGGCACUAGUCAUCAUAAAAGUCUACAAACAAAAUGCUGGCGAGGGUGUGGAGAAAAGCAAACCCUCCUCUGCUGCUGCUGGGAACGGAAAUGGCUACCAGCCACUAUGGAGUACACUAUGGAGGUUUUAUAAGACACUAAAAAUAGAGCGAUUAUAAGAUCUGGCAAUCCCACUCCUGGGUUUAUGCCACGAGAAAACCAUCCUUCGAAAAGACACCUGCAGACUUCCCUGGUGGCGCAGUGGUUAAGAAUCCACCUGACAAUGCAGGGCACACAGGUUCGAUCCCUGGUCUGGGAAGAUCCUACAUGCUGCAGAGCACCUAAGCCCAUGCGCCACAACUACUGAGCCUGAGCACCUAGAGCCCGUGCUCUGCAACAAGAGAAGGCACCGCAGUGAGAAGCCCACGCACUGCAAUGAAGCCCCAAUGCAGCCAAAAAUAAAUAAUAACAACAUAAAAAAAGAGAGAUAGAAAAUUAACCCUUUGAAAAGAAGAAAAAGACACCCACAACCAACAUUCAUUGCAGCACUAUUUAAAAUACCCGAAGCAUGGAAGCACCCAAAAUGUCCAUCGACAUAGGUAUGGCUACACAAGAUGUGCUACAUAUAUACAAUGGAAUAUUUCUCAACCCUAAGAAAGAAUGAAAUCAUGCCAUUUGCAGCAACAUGGAUGGACCUGGAGAUGAUCCCACUAAGUUCCACAGAGAAAGACAAAUAUCAUAUGAUAUCACUUAUAGGUGCAAACUAAAACUUGAUACCAAGGAACUAAUUAACCAAACAGAAACAGACUCCCAGACUUAGAAAACUAACUUAGCGUGACCAAAGGCAAAGUUGGGGUUGGGGGGGAGAUAAAUUAGGAGGUGUGGAUUAAAACAUACACCCUAAUAUAUGGGAUAAUCAACAAGGACCUACUAGACAGCAAAGGGAACUCUCCUCAACACUCUCUAAUAACCUGGAAUGGGAACAGAAUCCGAAAAGGAAUAGAAACAUGUAUAACUGAAUCAGUUUCUGUACACCUCAAACAAACACAGCAUUGUAAACCAACUGUACUUCAAUAGAAGAUACAAAUUACAUUAGAAGAGAAAAAUGAAAACAAGUGCCUACUCUAGUCCCCUCAGGCCUCAGCGGUCUGGGCUGGUGUCACAUCCCUGGAACCUGAGCAGGCCUGGGUCCCAAGGCUGGACUGUCGUGGGGCUGAGGGGACUGGGGAGGAUGUGCCAGCAAAUGAGCCCCCCCGGGGACCUGCAGUGUCUGGUCCACUCGAAAUGGGACCACAAUCUCCAGAUCCAGGCAGGCCCUCCUAUAGCUCAACCAAGCCUAGUGCACCCAAAGGAGGGUGGAUCCUCUGGGCUGCAAGAGCUUUGAAACGUCACCUGGUCUCCACAUCUCCUGGUGUUGGGGUUUCCACUUCCAGCCUCCUUCCUUAGAGUCGCUCCAACUACCUAGGACAUCACCCUCAGCACAGCACUUUUGCAGGGGUUGGGAUUUGACUGGGAGGGUGAAGGGUAAGGGGGAAGAAGUAAAGAGGCACAAGCCCUCGUGUGUUUCUUCUGGCACUUUGCACUCUGAUUUUCAACCUGGGAACAUGACUUUUGCUAGGCUCAGGUUGCCCGAGUUACCAGAGUCGGGCAUGAAGAAAUGCUGCCGCCUUGUGGCCGUUUUCCGUAACAACAACCUUAAAACCAGUACUUAGGGGAACUUAAUAUUCACAAGGCCUGUGGGGCUCUAAAUGACCCCUGCCUUCGAGAGAUAUUGCGCGGUAGGUAAUAGAAAAAGAAUUCAAAACAGGGCCGACUUUAAGAAGCCAGUUUCAAGAGGUAAAAUUAUAUUCACAUUAAAAAAAAAACCCACAUGAAAUGAUCUCAGCAUCACUAGUUGUUAGAGAAAUGCAAAUCAAAACGACAACGAGGUAUCAUAGGGCACCAAUCAUCACAAAGUCUACAAACAAUAAAUGCUGGAGAGGGCGUGGAGAAAAGACAUGCCUCCUCCACUGCUGCUGGGAAUGGAAAUUGCUACCAGCCACUAUGGAGGUUUUAUAAAACACUAAAAAUAGAGAAAUCAUGAGAUCCGGCAAUCCCACUCCUGGGUGUAUGCCCGAAGAAAACCAUCCUUCGAAAAGACAUCUGCACCCCAACAUUCAUUGCAGCACUAUUUACAAUACCCAAAGCAUGGAAGCACCCAAAAUGUCCAUCGACAUAGGUAUGGCUACACAAGAUGUGCUACAUAUAUACAAUGGAAUAUUUCUCAACCCUAAGAAAGAAGGAAAUCAUGCCAUUUGCAGCAACAUGGAUGGACCUGGAGAUGAUCCCACUAAGUCAAGUAGGUCACACAGAGAAAGACGAAUAUCAUAUGAUAUCACUGAUAGGUGCAAUCUAAAACAUGAUACCAAUGAACUAAUUAACCAAAACAGAAACAGACUCCCAGACUUAGAAAACUAACUUAUCGUGACCAAAGGGGGAAAGUUCGGGUGGGGGGAGCGAUAAGUUAGGAGGUUGGGAUUAAUACACACAGACACACACAGAGAUAUAUGAUAAUCAAGAAGGACCUACUGGAUAGCACAGGGAACUCUACUUGAUAAUCUGUCCUAAUCUAUAAGAGAAAAGAAUCUGAAAAAUAAUGGAUAUACAAAUAUGUAUAAUGAAUCAUUUGUUGUAUACCUGAAACUAGCACAACAUUGUAUAUCAACUAUACUCCAAUAACAUUUUAAAAUUUUAAAAAUAAGUAAGCUUGGGGCUUCCCUGGUGGCGCAGUGGUUGAGAGUCCGCCUGCCGAUGCAGGGGACACGGGUUCAUGCCCCGGUCCGGGAAGAUCCCACAUGCCGUGGAGCAGCUGGGCCCGUGAGCCAUGGCCGUUGAGCCUGUGUGUCCGGAGCCUGUGCUCCACAACGGGAGAGGCCACAACAGUGAGAGGCUCGCGUACCGCAAAAAAAAAAAAAAAAAAAGUAAGCUUAAACGCUUUUGUACAGCAAAACGUCCAUAAACGAAACAAGACACCAUAUGGUUUCGGAGAAAAUAUUUGCAUAUGAUGGAAAUUUGAGGGAUUAAUUCCCAAAAUAUACAAAGAACUCAUACAGCUCAACGUCAAAAAAACAAACAACCCAAUUAAAAAAUAUGCAGAAGACUUAAGUAACAUUUCUCCAAGGAAGAUAUCCUAAUUACCAGCAGGCACAUGAAAAGACGGCCAACAUCACUGAUUAUUAGAGAAAUGCAAAUCAAAUCCACAAUUGAUGUAUCACCUCAUACUCGUCAGAAUGACCAUCGCCAAAAAUUCUACGAAUAGGGACUUGCCUUGUAGUCCAGUGGUAAAGAAUCUGCCUUACAAUGCAGGGGACGCGGGUUCGACCCCUGGUCAGGGAAAUAGGAUCCCACAUGCCUCAGGGCAACUAAGCCCUCGCACCGCAACUACUAAGCUUGCGCACCUCAACUGGAGCGGGCGUGCAGCAAACUACAGAACCCACGUGCUCUGGAACCCACGCACCACAAUUACAGAGCCCACACACCCUGGAGCCUGCACGCCACAACUAGAGAAAGCCUGCACGCCACAACUAGAGCAAAGCUCACGUGCCACAUGAUCCUGCAUGCCUCAGUGAAGAUCCCGCAUGCCACAACUAAGACCUGACACAGCCAAAAAUUAAAUAAAUAAAUAAAUAAUAAAUCUUAAAAAAAAGUCUACAAAUAAUAAAUGCGAGAGGGGGUGUGAGGAAAACAGAACCCUCCUGUACUCUUGGUGGAAAUGUAAAUUGGUGCAGCCACUAUGGGGAAUGGUAUGGAGGUUCCUUAAAAAAGUAAAAUAGAGUUACCAUAUUUUCCAGCAAUCCCACUCCUAGGCAUACAUCCAAAAAAGAUGAAAACUGUAAUUCAAAAAGAUACACCCACCCUAGUGUUCAUAGCAGCACUAUUUACAAUAACCAAGAAAUGUCCAUGGACAGAUGAAUGGAUAAAGAACAUGUGGUAUAUGUAUACAAUGGAAUAUUACUCAGCCAUGAAAACGAAUAAAAUAAUGCCAUUUACAGCAACAUGGAUGGACCCAGAGAUUAUCAUGCCGAGAGAAGUGAGUCAGACAAAGACAAAUAUCAUAUAUCGCUUAUAUGUGGAAUCUAAAAAAGUGAUACAAAUGAACUUAUUUACAAAACUGAAAUAGACUCUAGACAUAGAAAACAAACUUACGGUUACCAAAGCGGAAAGGAGGGAGGGAUAAAUUAGGAAUUGGGGAUUAACAGAUGCAUACUACUACAUAUAAAAUAAACUGAAAGGACUUACUGUAUAGUGCAGGCAACUAUAUUUAGUAUCUUGCAAUAACCUAUAAUGGAAAGAAUCUGGAAAAAAAAUAUAUCAAUUACUUUGCUGUACACCUGAAACACUGUAAGUCAACUAUACUUCACUAAAAAAAAAAAAAAAAAGAUACGGAGCUCCUGGUCCUCUAACUGGAUGAUUACUCCGAUAUUUAAGUUGGUGAAAGUUCACUUAAUGAAGCAAGUCACUCCCUAAUCUCUUUAAGGUGUCCCCAGUGAUGAGAAAUGAAGGUCCUUUGCAUACUAACAUGUUUUAUGGGUAAUGUAGUAGGUGAGGGCACUCUGCAGUCUUGAUCAGAAUAAGAUUGAUCAACCUGAAUGACAAAUGUCCUACACUGAAAUUGUGGCCAAGACCCAAUUAGAAUCCUUAAGUUCUGUCAGGUUUAGAAUCUCCACUGGCAGCUGUGGUGUUUGAAGACUUGUAAGUUCCUGUCUUACUACGCAGGUUUGUGUUCUUUGUAUCUUUUACUAGAACAACAUUCUGUGAGGGCUGAGACAUGAUAGUGAAUGACUCAACAUGUUCAAUAGUCACAGCUGCCAGGCGUGCAGGUACAUGGUUUUCCUCUCCCCAGAGCCCUCACCUACCCUGUUAUAGGCCUCCUAGGACCUGUAGGGGCCUGAGCCCUGAACAGAGGCACGAGUCUUUCACGGCCCCUGUGGUGUCAACCAGGCUCCCUCCCUCGCUGGGCCUGCUCGACGUCCACUCCAAACUGAACUCCCCAUUAGCCCUGCUCCCUGAGACUGUCACAACGGGGGAUCAACUCCAUGGUUUGGCCAGAAGGAGUCAGACCCAUUCUGAGCCACUACAAAGACCUGGCAGGAGCACGCAUUUGAAGUACUAAAGCUCACACACCGGAAUGACAGUGCCUCACUGCUGGCUGACCUGCCUCUGACUGUGGUCUGGACAUCAGGCAGAAAUGAGGAGGGAAGGACAUUAGAGCAGAGAAUAGCAGUGGUGACUACAGUGGGCAUGGACACACCAAUGUGGCUCCUGCCAUCUUAGGGACGAGGACCUUGAGAAGGCAUUAUUUAGGGCCAAUAAGAGGGAGGGAAGAGGACUCUUCCUGGACUCAUAUCAGCCUGUGUCUCUUCAAACCCCCAAUGAAGACCCCUAAGUUGGGAGGUGGGGCCUCUGUGUCAGAGGGGAAGGAAGGCUAGGGGGUCUCUGGGCUAUAAGCAGAGAGCCAUGGGGGAGAACCUUGUGAGGACCUGAAGGCUGGAGGGCCAUGGACUCACCUCUGUUCAGUAGGCUCACCUCCUGUGGAGGCCAAGGGUGGUCUCAGUCAAGGGGGCAUCAACCCCCAGCCGUGUAGACCCAGCCAGCAAUACAAGAUCCAGCUGAGACAGUCUCGAAGCUCACCUCCAGCUACAAAUCAGGAAACCCAAACAAGGUGGCCUUGACGCAGGCAGACAUUUGGGUUAUCUGCACCCAAAAUACCUUGACUUAGAAGACAACCCAGUAACCAGAAGCCCCUCAGAACAGCCCAGGCUACAGGGGUUCAGGGCGUCUAGAAACUACUGAGGAAAAGGGCCCCAAGAUCCACUCCACCUGGAGCAGUGAUGCCAUCCUUUCCCAGUUCCUUUCAAAACAAGUGCAACAGGAAUGGAGAAAUCUUAACACUCAAAUUGCCGAUAAGGCAGACCUUGAAGAAACCACAGACCCCUGCACCUUGGGUUUCAGGCCCGCCAGCCCCGUCCUGGAUGGGGUUCUCACUUCCUUCACAGCAGCUUUGACGCCAGCAAGCCCUGUGCAGGAGUCAAGGAGAACCCAGCCAGCCCUGUGAUCUGGAGCAUUCUGUGGGCGCCAUGAGACCUCCCAGAGGCUGCAGAUCCCAUCUCCCCAUGGUGCCUGCCAGGCACAGCUGCCACCCUCCAGCUAAGGGAGGGCUGGGCCAAGCCCACAUCUCAGACACCAGACAGUGUGUUAUCCUUUAAUGAAGAGCCAGGUCAGUAGGGCCACCAUUCUCCCCGAGGCCCCCCUGCAGCAGACACCCCUCACUCCUGGCUGCCUCGGUGGCAGGGUGGCCCUGAAGCAGCCAGCCCUGCUGAGAGGUCAGUUUGCAGCAGCCUAGGAAAGGCAUUCAUCUCUCGGACCUAGGAAAAUGGCAGCAGCAACAUGGCCAGUGGCGGCUAAUGAGGUCAGGGAUGGUGGAGGAGGAGGGCGGGACAGGAAGUGGGGGCUCUCCUCCUUCCUCUCUGAAUUCCCUGGGAUAAAGGCCAGUGUUCAGGAGCAGUACAGUCUCCCGAGGGGCUGGAGGCCCUUCCAGCCACUCUCUGGAAGCCCUUAGUCCCCAGUUUCCCUCAGACUAACAUCACACAGAAAGUAGCCCGCAGGGUCACUGGCCUCAGGGUCACCACUCCAUCAGCCUCAAGGCCCCACGCCUGCGAGAUGUCCAGCAGGGCCCAGGCCAGAGCCACCAGGAGACUUGGAGCCACCUUCCACUAACUCCGCUGGGCAGGCACUACAGGCAUCUAAGAAGGUGGUUUCUCUCCCUCGUGGUUCCGGGGCUGCCCAGGCGGGGCUGAGGCACAGCAGGCCAGGGGUUCUCCAAGUCCCUACAGAUCUGUGACCUUGUUUUCUACAGCCGCUGCGAUCUGCUGGAGCCGAUAGCCCAGCUGCAUCUUCUGGGCCGUGCCAUCUUCCUCCAGGGCAGUGAUGAUCUGAAACACAGAGACCAACUCAGCAGGGGGAGACCGUCAGCCUGCCGUCUGCCUUUGCCACAGGCUUCAAUAGGCCUCCACAGCUACUGCAGCAGGUGUAGUAAAAUCGUUUGAGGCCAACUUCACCCACCAUGCUGGUCUUCUCCGCCACAAACCCCCUGGAAGCCCUGCUCCACCCAUCCUGGCUCCCCCGCCCACCAGGCAACAAGCAGUUCCUAAAUUCCUACAUGCCCGGUGCUGGACAAGGAGCAGGGACCCAGCAGUGAUGACAGGUACGAUCCCUGCCCUCGUGGGGCUCACUGGAUGGGAGACAGGUAUUGACCAAACACGGACAACUACAUAACCACAAGGGGGGCUGCCAAAGAGGGAAGGGUGGGAACAGGAGGGGCUUGCCGGUCACGCCUCCACAAGGGGACAGCUGUGUCACACGGCCCCGCCUCCCCCACACCGGCACCCACACUGUUUGGAGCAAGGCACCUGGACUUCACGCUUGCGCAUCACUCCUGUGUCAAAUGCCUGUCCCCACUCCAGGCCUGAGCCAUGAGGCAGGGCCCUCAUCGCUCAACAGCAACGGCCACAUCCCUGGGGCCACGCAAACAUCUGGGUAGAUGAUUCCAGCAGGCACUCAGUGGGUUGACCGGUGGGCGCUCUGAUCCUGAGGCCCAGCCCAGGAAUCCCCCAGAAAGCCCCCUUACCGGCUCUGUUGUGCCCUCAUCUGCCCCAGACCCUGUGCCCAGACCCUCCUCUCUGGCAGCGCAUGCAGCCCAGCCAGGCCCACCCCCCAGAGAUGGCCUGCACAGCACACUGCCACAUGUGGUCUCAGGUAGGGCUCUGAGGGAGCACAAGGUCGGGGCACAGGUGGCCGCUGUGUGUUCCUCCCAGCACAUCCUGCACACCAUCUCCAGGCCCUGGUAGAUCCCCAGCCAUCCAUCACCACCACCAUGCCCAGGAGCCCGGCUGAGGAGCCCGGAUGGGAAGGGCGGCAGCAGGUAAGAGCCGGGCCACUACCAGGAAGCACACCUGAAGAACACUUCCCGAGCACAGGGCUCAGCCCCCCUCCACCACUCUGUGCCUGGGGGAGACCCGAAGGCCCCACACUUGCGUCACAGAGCCAGUCACCCUCUCGCAUCAUCCUGACCAUGCCCAGGUUCUGCCCACCUGGUCAUAGUAUUUGUUGAUAUACUUGUAGAGUUCGUGCAGGGCCACUCGCACCCCCAGGUCUCCAGAGUAGUUCUAGGGAGGAGAGACAAGAGGUUACAGAGAUAGGGGGUGCUGCCAGCCACCAGAGGAGGCCCAGGACCCCAGGCAAGGGGAGUGAGGAAGAGGGGGCUGGGAGGUAGAGGAAGGAACAGGGCCCUGCAUUGGGAAGCAGAGCCCCUCCACAGACAGGGGAUGCCAGGCUAGACGUGCUAAGCUGGGGACAGGAUAGGACCAAAGGGCCUCCUUGGUGGAGAGAGCCUGGAUCUGUAGUUUCACCAUGGCCUGGGGUCUCCACUGGGGCUCGGCCUCUCUCCCCCUCCAGGCUCCAGCUGGGACCCUCUGGCAUCCCAGGCAAUUGCAGAGCCAGGCAGAAUAGGUGCUGCUCACAGGCUGUGACCCAGCAUAGUUCUGCUGUGAUCUCAUUCAAGUCUUUCCUGAGGUCACACCCAGGUCCCUCCAUGGGGACAUCUCUGAACCUCAACCUCCUCUUCAGGACAAUGGAGUUGAUAUCACCUAACUUGUAGAGCUUUAAUGGGAAUCAAAUGAGAAGUAAUCAAAGCCCCCACACACAGCAACACCCCAAAACUGUAGCUGCUAUUGUUAUUGUGGUUGUGGUCAUCAUCAUCGUGGUUUCAGAUUUACAUUGUUUAUAAAUUCCCCGGACUGGACUGUUUGGAGGCUGUUUUAGGAGUAGGUGGGGGCAUGUCCAUAGUGCCAAGGAAAGCAGAGCAGUAGGAAGACGUGGACAGGCUGACCCAGGCAGUCCUGGGGCUGAAUCCCUGCCACCUCGCUGCCUUGAAACUAUGGUCCACAGACCCCGAGGGGCUGCAGAGGGGCUGCAGACAUCUAAACACCUGGCUGAGUCAGGCUCGGUGGCAGCUGCCAGGACAAGGCCCCUGCUGCUCUCUGAUGAGACACUGGGAGCCCUGGUCUUUUACAGAGGCAGCGGGAACACUGUGCUGAGGCCCCCAGGGCUUCCCUGCAAAGGAGCAGUGUGAAGGGGGCAGGACCCUUGCAGCAGAAGGCCUAUGCCCAACCCAAGAAGCAGAAGGAGGGCCAUACCCGGGACAGCUCGGCCAGGAUGGAGUUCAUCUCUUGAUCACUGGCGGGGAUGGUCUGUCUGAUGUCUGCAUAGUACCUGCCAGAGAUCAUGGGUCCGGCAGCCGCUGGGGAAACAAACCCCUCUUCACCCCACCAGGCCCACCCCUGGGCCUCAGCUGUAAACACCCACCAAUCCGUCCAGCCAUUAUCCCCCAGAUGCAAUCCCUUUCCCUCGUACCUUUCCACCAUCCGUUUGUACCGGGGAAUAUCCCGAGCAUACAGAAGUUUGUUGAUGGGAGAGUCCUGGGUGCCAGUAGGUGAACAGUGAAAGGAAAAGAAGGAUGAGAGCUCCUGUUAGGGUGACCAGCUGUCCCAAUUUUCCCAGCACUGUUUCAGUUUUAAAACUAAGUCCUGAAUUGCAGGAAACCUCCUCAGUCCCAGACAACCCGGAUGGUUGGUCACCCCACCUCAUUCCUUCUGUCACCCCUCCCCCAGUGUCCCAUCUCUGCUGUCAUCACCUUGAGCUUCCCCCCAUCUCACUCCAAGGUCAUCUAUCAGCUCCACGUGCCUCCACCCGGACCUGGCAGGGAACUGGCAUGCAGGGUGGGAAGGGUGCAGUGCCGUGUGGAGCCCUAAUACUGCUUCUCCAAGUGCUAUUCAUUCCCCAUGUAAUCAUUUUAAAAAUCAGGAAACUAACCCCGAAAUUUAAUUAAAUUGCCCCAGACCACCUCACUCCUGUGUGGCUGAGCUGGGAUUUGAAGCAGGUCUCUCAGACCAGGGCCCACAAUCUAACACAGCCAAUACAUCCUCUACCACCGAACCGGGCUCCAAUCCCAGCUCUGUCCCAGUGGCUGUGGGCAGCACACUUCCAUUCUCUGGACCUGCUGCCUCAUCCUACAGCUGCUGGGAGGGUGAGGCAAGACUGCACUGCCCCCUGUGAGCAAGGGGGUGAGCGCUGGGCCUGAGGCAGGAUGCCUGCUUCUCAGCAACUCUCCAUGGGUGGCCCUUAGCAUCCUGGUUUGCACUAUUCCUGAGCUACCCAGGAAGCAUCUGCAGUGCUGCUGGGAAGGGGAAGCAGUGUGAAGAUCAGGCAGAAGAACCCAGCUACCAUACAGCACACACCCUGGAGGUGACCCCUGGGUCCUGGUGUGGCUCUGUGGUUCUCAGCUCAUCGCAGGCAGAGUAAUGAGCGCAGGCAGAGGAAAAAUGGCUUACAAAAGACAGCACUACAGAGUGGAACUUUCCAUCUUGUUUCCCCAUGGAGAACUCUCAAGAGGUCCCAGGCCCAGGGGUCGAGGCUAAGCAGAGUCCGUUAUGCAGAGCCACGACAGCCCUGCCUGCUGGGUGCCUGAGCAGUCAUAGUGGUGACCCCAUAUCUGUCACAGGACUCUCUGGGUCCUGACCACUGUGACAACAUACCUCCCCCUCUCUGUGCCACCAGGCAGCCCUGACCACCUCUCCUCCAUGCUUCCCAGCUCCCCUGUCAGCACACCCCUCCUCGCCUGGCCCUCCCCUGGACUCUGCUCCCUGUACUGCACAGGCUGGCAGACACUUCCACUGCCCUUGGGAAUCAAAUCUCCGAGGCAGCCUGGAGCUGCUCUGCGAUUGUAGAAUCCAGGGGCUCACCUCCUCCAAGUCUCAGCUCACCACCACCAGAGGCCCGGGGUGCGUAAGGAACCCCUCCCUCUUCCUCACCCCCACAUCCAACCCACAGCUUCUGCCUGCCCUGUACCCUCUAGUCCCAGCAUGAACCUGGCCACCGCUCGUCCCAGGGACAACACAGCUUCCUCUCUGGACGCCAGGCUCCAGUCCAUCCACUGCAUGAUUGCCAGGAGGCUCCACCUAACUCUCAGGUCUGACCACCCCCUUUGCCCUCAGGGUGAGCCCUUGCCAAGUGGCCCUGGCCUCCUGCCGCACCGCCAGCACUCUUUGCUCCACUUAACCCUGUGAAUCAGCACACGUGCCCCCUGCCCUUGCUCAUCCCUGAAGGCUGAGGCACGGCCACCUCCUAGGGAGGCCAGGAACAAAGCCUGUCCCCGGACCUGCGGUCAAAGACCUCCUAUAUCCUCCUCCUUGACAUCCUCAAGAAGGCCUGGAGUCUGUGCACCACAGCACUCUCCAUCCCCGGCUACGCUGCCCCACCCACCUAGACCCUCCCGGUCCACCCCAGCCAGCUCACCCGGCCCAGCUUGUGGUCAGCCAGGGUGCAGGCAUCCAUGAAGGUCUGUGCAAUGACCAGGAACACUGCAUCCAUGUUAUCAGAUGUCUGCACGUCGAACACAAACUGCGGGUUUUUUAUGAUAUUGAUCCAGAACCUCAGCGGCAAGCUGUGGGCGGGGCAGGUGUGGCCAGUGAGUGUGCUGGGGAGACAGGAGAGAAGACCCCGCACAUGCUAGGCCCACUCCGCCCCACCCCCACCUGUUGGUCUUCCAUAUAUGGACGGUGUCCUGGUCCGAGAUGCCAUGCUGCUGGGCCUGCUCAUCCAGCAGGUCAAAGAAGUACUUCACAGCGAGCGGCACGGGACGGCUGGUGCUGAGAAUCACCUGGAACAGGUCAUCCACAAACUUCUGCAGGGUGCCCUGCGGAUGAGGGGAAGUACAAGAGAUGCAGUCAGCAAGGGGACCUCAGCCCAGCCCAGCCCAGCCCAGCCUCGCCUCAGAUGCCUCGUGACACCAGGCCUUUGCGAGCCCCACAUACUCCCAAAUCCCACUACCUGUCUCGUCCCUGCCCCCAGCCCCACCUUCAUGGACAGCAGGCGGGUCAGGUAGAUCUCAGGGAUGGCCUUGGCUCGCUCCCGCUCCCCGCCCCGGAGGCUGCCCCUCCGAGGCCUGGGCGGCUCCGGCUCCUCGCUUGGCUUCACCAGGUGCCAGGGCCGGAUGCCCCCCUCGUCCACAUCCUCCAGCAUUGGGGUCCCUGUACCAAGACCUUACAGCUUGUCACCCCUCAUCAGGUGCCCCCUGCCCUAGACCCCCGGGGUCCUGCCAAAACCUGGGAGUGGGGGCACCUGGUUAAGGGCUUCUCUGGGUGGAAGGGAAGUAGACACAAGCCCACCCUGAAGUCCAGAGGACCUUACCCCGUUACUGGAGACUGGGCAAAGCAAGGGUAGAGGACUGCGAUGGCAGGGGUGGGGCGGGGGGGAGGGUAAGUACUCACUCUCUCCAGGGACGUAAUCCUGGCUUUCCCGGAGGACAUGCUUGGUGAGGCAGGGGACGAGGGCCACAGUUGCUCCGUCUGGGACCUGUGGACCACAGUUGGUGACCCCUCCACCAGCCCACCCCACCACAGCCUUCCCCCAGCUCCCACCCC
Long non-coding RNA from Globicephala melas (long-finned pilot whale), 13353 nucleotides. RefSeq lists it as uncharacterized. The record is from RefSeq and is a predicted model, not a curated record. Lineage: Eukaryota; Metazoa; Chordata; Mammalia; Artiodactyla; Delphinidae.